Molecule: ribosomal RNA, 470 nt
Filed under: uncultured Asaia sp.
Lineage: Bacteria; Pseudomonadati; Pseudomonadota; Alphaproteobacteria; Acetobacterales; Acetobacteraceae
Description: bacterial SSU rRNA
Rfam family: Bacterial small subunit ribosomal RNA
Source: RNAcentral
GCUUGUUGGUGGGGUAAAGGCCUACCAAGGCGAUGAUCGAUAGCUGGUCUGAGAGGAUGAUCAGCCACACUGGGACUGAGACACGGCCCAGACUCCUACGGGAGGCAGCAGUGGGGAAUAUUGGACAAUGGGCGAAAGCCUGAUCCAGCAAUGCCGCGUGUGUGAAGAAGGUCUUCGGAUUGUAAAGCACUUUCGACGGGGACGAUGAUGACGGUACCCGUAGAAGAAGCCCCGGCUAACUUCGUGCCAGCAGCCGCGGUAAUACGAAGGGGGCUAGCGUUGCUCGGAAUGACUGGGCGUAAAGGGCGCGUAGGCGGUUCACACAGUCAGAUGUGAAAUUCCAGGGCUUAACCUUGGGGCUGCAUUUGAUACGUGUGGACUAGAGUGUGAGAGAGGGUUGUGGAAUUCCCAGUGUAGAGGUGAAAUUCGUAGAUAUUGGGAAGAACACCGGUGGCGAAGGCGGCAACCUG